UGGGUUUGACAUAUACCGGAAAGCCGUAGAGAUACGGCCCCCCUUGUGGUCGGUAUACAGGUGGUGCAUGGCUGUCGUCAGCUCGUGUCGUGAGAUGUUGGGUUAAGCCCCGCAACGAGCGCAACCCUUGUCCCGUGUUGCCAGCAACUCUCUUCGGAGGGGUUGGGGACUCACGGGAGACCGCCGGGGUCAACUCGGAGGAAGGUGGGGAUGACGUUACGGUC
This 224-nucleotide unclassified non-coding RNA is filed under the name uncultured Actinomycetes bacterium. Its description in RNAcentral is "uncultured actinobacterium contains 16S-23S intergenic spacer region". It matches the Rfam family "Bacterial small subunit ribosomal RNA", at positions 976 to 1191 of the family's 1533-position model. The record is from RNAcentral. Lineage: Bacteria; Bacillati; Actinomycetota; Actinomycetes.